Molecule: long non-coding RNA, 2497 nt
Filed under: Homo sapiens (human)
Lineage: Eukaryota; Metazoa; Chordata; Mammalia; Primates; Hominidae
Description: uncharacterized LOC100128361 (LOC100128361)
Source: RNAcentral
CCCAGCCUUAGUUUGUCCCUAGGCCUCUAGAGCACCACAGUUACUGGAACUUCACAGGUGCGGCCACUGCGCACACCUUCCUGGAAGCAGGCCCAGCCCCACACGCCAUGUUCUCGGAGGAGAAGCCUUCUCUGAGAUCCUCUCCUUUUGUUGAGAAAGGCCUGGCUAGAGUGCUUUGUGCAGGAUGGUUCCAGUGCCUACACCCUAGGUCUGAGAAGCCACAUGGCUCAGUGCCUUCAGGACAUGCCCUCCCCUCCCCUCCUAGUGUCGUUUCUGCUGAGCAGCUGGUCGUAAGGACCCGGGCCUUCAGCUUUCCCCGCAUGCUGGCUUUCCAAUUUGACAUCACUGACCAGGCACUAAGAGAUUCCCAGGUGCUAGACGAGGUGAGUAACAUGUCUGUCCUUCAGCGGCCUUUCACAGCCCACCUAAGGGCACCCUGCAUCCAAGCACAUUUCCAUUGCCCAGCUGCAUCCUUGGUCGGGGGGCUGCUGAACAGUGGUAUCUUCGUGGGUUUUCUCUCAUCGAACACCACCAGCUUAAUCCAGUUAAGGAAUUCCUCAUAACUUAGCCCUGUAGGUAUUUCCUUAGGGGAUAACAGGAGUUUUCAACUAAAUAGAACAACCUUUUUUCUACUUCAGUUAGCCCUAUAAUGUUCCUCAGUAUUUCAUAUUGGAAAGUAAACAAUUCUGUGCCUGCCAGGGAACAGGAAUCCUGGGAACUGUUUAGUUCAAAAGCACCGGGAAAGUGAGUGGCUGGCAGCCAGCAACCAAGGUCAUCUUGACCCAGGAACACAUGUUAGAAGAAUGUGGAACAUUCCGCAAAUACUGGGUGCAGGGUUUAGCACCCCUGAAGAUCGGUGAUGGAGAUGCUGUCUAACGACUAUGAGAUUAUCAGUUUCAUCCCGAAUUCCCAGAAACAGAGGGGACUGGACAAAACUAGUGACAUUAGGGAGAGGGGCGGCACAUAGGCUGGUUAUUCAGAAGAGGAAGCAGAAUGAAUGCGCGCCUCACAGGCUUUCAAAUGACUGUGGUGGUAAAAAGGCAGGUGCGCCAUGCUGCCACUGUGGGAGACCGAGGAACAAGGGCCACAGGUACCCACACAUCUCAGGGGCUGGCUUUCUUUGAGGGAAUGCAAUGGGCAGCUCACUGUCCACAUUGUUUCUGAGCUCUUGGGAGUAUUUUCUUAGAAAACAGUAACUUUCAAUGUACUAACAAUCCUUUUAAGUUAUUCUCCAUAAAUCUGUCUUUUGACUGAAUUACAAGCUUCUAGAGGGCGAGAGUUAGUAAGCCCCAUGAUGUCACAUAGGCCAAGGAAGUUAUGUCACUCCGCCAUGGAGUCUCUAAAUAUGGGGAAACCAACUAUCCUAUUAACAAUUCACCAACUGUCCAUAAAACCCCGUUAGACCCAGGCUGCAUGCCUUGCAGUGGGGGCCUCACCUGGCAUCCUGCAGACAGGGAGACAGUGCAAUCAUGAUGGAGCAGUCCUUGGCAGUCAUGGCGACGCGGUACUGCUGCACCUGCAGGGGCGGGAAAGAUCAGCUCCAGGUCACACAGGAAGCCUCUGCCCCCCCACACAACCUUCCUUCCCAGUAGCCAAGUGUGGGAACUGCUUCCUGCCUCAGAACCUGAGGGUGGGAUUAGGAGCGAGGGCCACGGUGAGCACGGGCGUCAGGAGGUCGCCCUGUGAGAGCACCUGGGCCAGCCCUCAGUGCCACGGGGCUGCUCAGAGGCCAGCACCGCCCCCUGACCUCUCACGGCAAGCAGUGUGGGACCCCGACUCCAGACCCUGAGACGGAUGAUCUGUCUUCAGCAAGGUCACCACAGUCGGCCUUUGGAAGGAAAAGCAGUAAGCCACCUGAGCCCCGCAUGUUGGCCACACUCAGAGUAUCAAGUGAGUAUCACUCGACACCUGCAAGGAGAGCGCAGGGGGUGUUCAGCAAGGCAUCGCUUAGAACGACAUUCCCUCCGGAACAUCAUACAGCCACCAGAGACAACGGCAGACGGCCACCCUUCUACAGGCUGUGCAUGUGUUAACUUGCUCCACCCUCACAGCAGCCCAACAGGGCAGCACGGCCGGCGUCCCACUUUACAGACAAGCAACAGACACAGACAUCACUUGUCUGUCAUGCCCUGCUUGUCAAUGGCAAGGCAGGGACUCAAACCCGGUACGCUGGCUCUGACAUUUACACUCUUCAACACAUGCUCCAAGCUAUGUGGGUCUGUCCAUACUGACCAGGGACAGCUCAACACACACCACACUGUCAGAGUCGACAUACGUAAAGCUGUACAUGUGCACAUGUGUGUGACGCGGGCAGGGAGAAAGGUGAAGGACAGGCACCACAAUGCUCACAACUGUCUCCUCUACAGAGCAGAAUGUGAGGCACUCUCUCCUCUUCCUUCUUUGGACUUUCAUAUAUGGUUUGCAUUGUUUUAGAUGGCAUAGCUCUCGCUUUCACAAAAAUAAACAGUUGUAAAAGAAAAGGAAAAAAAAAAAAAAA